RNAcentral lists this ribosomal RNA (468 nucleotides) under uncultured bacterium. RNAcentral describes it as "partial 16S ribosomal RNA". It matches the Rfam family "Bacterial small subunit ribosomal RNA", at positions 28 to 507 of the family's 1533-position model. The record is from RNAcentral.
GACGAACGCUGGCGGCGUGCUUAACACAUGCAAGUCGAACGGAAAGGCCCUGCUUUUGUGGGGUGCUCGAGUGGCGAACGGGUGAGUAACACGUGAGUAACCUGCCCUUGACUUUGGGAUAACUUCAGGAAACUGGGGCUAAUACCGGAUAGGAGCUCCUGCUGCAUGGUGGGGGUUGGAAAGUUUCGGCUGUUGGGGAUGGACUCGCGGCUUAUCAGCUUGUUGGUGGGGUAGUGGCUUACCAAGGCUUUGACGGGUAGCCGGCCUGAGAGGGUGACCGGCCACAUUGGGACUGAGAUACGGAACAGACUCCUACGGGAGGCAGCAGUGGGGAAUAUUGCACAAUGGGCGGAAGCCUGAUGAAGAAAAGCCGCGUGCGGGAUGACGGCCUUCGGGUUGUAAACCGAUUUCGCCUGUGACGAAGCGUGAGUGACGGUAAUGGGUAAAGAAGCACCGGCUAACUACGUG